RNAcentral lists this small RNA (1044 nucleotides) under uncultured Pelagibacterales bacterium. RNAcentral's name for it is "bacterial SSU rRNA". The stretch from base 1 to 658 matches the Rfam family "Bacterial small subunit ribosomal RNA", at positions 867 to 1533 of the family's 1533-position model. Lineage: Bacteria; Pseudomonadati; Pseudomonadota; Alphaproteobacteria; Candidatus Pelagibacterales. The record is from RNAcentral.
CACCGCCUGGGGAGUACGACCGCAAGGUUAAAACUCAAAUGAAUUGACGGGGACCCGCACAAGUAGUGGAGCAUGUGGUUUAAUUCGAAGAUACGCGCAGAACCUUACCAACACUUGACAUGUUCGUCGCGACUUUAAGAGAUUAAAGUUUUCGGUUCGGCCGGACGAAACACAGGUGCUGCAUGGCUGUCGUCAGCUCGUGUCGUGAGAUGUUGGGUUAAGUCCCGCAACGAGCGCAACCCUCACUUUUAGUUGCCAUCAUUUAGUUGGGCACUCUGAAAGAACUGCCAGUGAUAAGCUGGAGGAAGGUGGGGAUGACGUCAAGUCCUCAUGGCCCUUACGUGUUGGGCUACACACGUGCUACAAUGGUAUCUACAACAGGAAGCAAAACUGCGAGGUUAAGCAAAUCCUUAAAAGAUACCUCAGUUCGGAUUGCACUCUGCAACUCGAGUGCAUGAAGCUGGAAUUACUAGUAAUCGUGGAUCAGCGUGCCACGGUGAAUGCGUUCCCGGGUCUUGUACACACCGCCCGUCACACCAUGGGAGUUGGUUCUACCUUGAGGCAAGGUUUCAAACCCUUGACCACGGUAUAGUCAGCGACUGGGGUGAAGUCGUAACAAGGUAGCCGUAGGGGAACCUGCGGCUGGAUUACCUCCUUUCUAAGGAUGAAUAAAAGUAAAAAUUUUAUUCUAAAUAAUAUACAGGUAAUGUUGACCGUCCUCAUUUCUCUUCUUAAAUUAGUGUUUCUCUUGCAUGGGGGCCGGUAGCUCAGUUGGUUAGAGCACACCCUUGAUAAGGGUGGGGUCGAAAGUUCGAGUCUUUCUCGGCCCACCGAUUAAAGAUCAUGGGGGAUUAGCUCAGCUGGGAGAGCGCCUGAUUUGCAUUCAGGAGGUCAGCGGUUCGAUCCCGCUAUCCUCCACCAAAACACUUAGUUAUAAAAAAUCGUAAAUAAUAAUAAUUAAUAUCAAUAUCUAUAUCCGAACAUUAGCUCUGUUAUUAGCUAAUGUUCAAAUAAAAAUUUGAUUCAACACAGAAUUUUUUUCUG